UCGUCAGCUCGUGUCGUGAGAUGUUGGGUUAAGUCCCGCAACGAGCGCAACCCUUAUUAUCAGUUGCCAGCAUUCAGUUGGGCACUCUGGUGAGACUGCCGGUGACAAACCGGAGGAAGGUGGGGAUGACGUCAAAUCAUCAUGCCCCUUAUGACCUGGGCUACACACGUGCUACAAUGGACGGUACAACGAGUUGCGAAGUCGUGAGGCUAAGCUAAUCUCUUAAAGCCGUUCUCAGUUCGGAUUGUAGGCUGCAACUCGCCUACAUGAAGUUGGAAUCGCUAGUAAUCGCGGAUCAGCAUGCCGCGGUGAAUACGUUCCCGGGCCUUGUACACACCGCCCGUCACACCAUGAGAGUUUGUAACACCCAAAGCCGGUGAGAUAACCUUCGGGAGUCAGCCGUCUAAGGUGGGACAGAUGAUUAGGGUGAAGUCGUAACAAGGUAGCCGUAGGAGAACCUGCGGCUGGAUCACCUCCUUUCUAAGGAA
Molecule: ribosomal RNA, 488 nt
Filed under: Lactobacillus sp.
Lineage: Bacteria; Bacillati; Bacillota; Bacilli; Lactobacillales; Lactobacillaceae
Description: bacterial SSU rRNA
Rfam family: Bacterial small subunit ribosomal RNA
Source: RNAcentral